CACCCGUAAUUCCGAACUUGAGUGGGAUACUAAAAUGGCUAUUAAACAUUUAAAUACAAAAAAUAAAGACCUGAGUUUGUAAUAUACGGGUAAA
This 94-nucleotide microRNA precursor is filed under the name Brachionus plicatilis. Its description in RNAcentral is "Bpl-Mir-10-P2_pre stem-loop". Lineage: Eukaryota; Metazoa; Rotifera; Eurotatoria; Ploima; Brachionidae. The record is from RNAcentral.